This 105-nucleotide ribosomal RNA is filed under the name Nanoarchaeum equitans Kin4-M. RNAcentral describes it as "large subunit ribosomal RNA". It matches the Rfam family "Archaeal large subunit ribosomal RNA", at positions 24 to 128 of the family's 2987-position model. The record is from RNAcentral. Lineage: Archaea; Nanobdellati; Nanobdellota; Candidatus Nanoarchaeia; Nanoarchaeales; Nanoarchaeaceae.
GGUGGAUGCCUGGGCUCGGGAGCCGAAGAAGGGCGUGGCAAGCUGCGAUAAGCCAGGGGGAGGCGCACGCAGCCGUUGAUCCCUGGAUCCCCGAAUGGGACCUCC